Non-coding RNA from Steccherinum ochraceum, 84 nucleotides. Lineage: Eukaryota; Fungi; Basidiomycota; Agaricomycetes; Polyporales; Steccherinaceae. The record is from the annotation of a GenBank genome assembly.
GGCAAUAUGGUGUAGAGGUUAGCACUUGAGAUUCUGAUCUUACACGGAGUUCUCAAAACCCAGGUUCGAGUCCUGGUAUCGCCU